UACAGAGGGUGCAAGCGUUGUUCGGAAUUACUGGGCGUAAAGCGCGUGUAGGCGGUUGUUCAAGUCGGGUGUGAAAGCCUUGAGCUCAACUCAAGAAAUGCACUCGGUACUGGAUGACUAGAGGACCGGAGAGGAUAGUGGAAUUCCCAGUGUAGUGGUGAAAUACGUAGAGAUUGGGAAGAACACCAGUGGCGAAGGCGGCUAUCUGGACGGUUUCUGACGCUAAGACGCGAAAGCGUGGGGAGCAAACAGG
This 253-nucleotide ribosomal RNA is filed under the name uncultured bacterium. RNAcentral describes it as "partial 16S ribosomal RNA". It matches the Rfam family "Bacterial small subunit ribosomal RNA", at positions 524 to 776 of the family's 1533-position model. The record is from RNAcentral.